This 27-nucleotide non-coding RNA is filed under the name Homo sapiens (human). Lineage: Eukaryota; Metazoa; Chordata; Mammalia; Primates; Hominidae. The record is from RNAcentral.
UGAUCCGUGUCAGUGUCUACCCAUUCA